AAACUGGGGCGAGCCACUGCAAGGUGGUGGUGGAACCAGUCGUGUGGUCUCAUCUCACUGCAAGUGGAUGGAGAAAUAUAUUUUCUCAUGUGCCUUUGAAGAAGGAACUGGAAACAGAAUUUGGUGGUCAAGGUGAAGCCCCACGACAAGGAUGCCAAAAUGAAAUACCAGGAGUGCAACAAGAUCGUGAAGCAGAAGGCCUUUGAGCGGGCCAUCGCAGGCGACGAGCACAAGCGCUCCGUGGUGGACUCGCUGGACAUCGAGAGCAUGACCAUCGAGGGUGAGUACAGCGGACCCAAGCUUGAGGACGACAAAGUGACAAUCACCUUCAUGAAGGGGCUCAUGCAGUGGUACAAGGACCAGAAGAAACUGCACCAGAAAUGCGCCUACCAGGAUUUCAGACAAAAAUCAGGAAUCAUCACCAGCCAAGACUGUGUUCAGACCACGUGACGUCUUCCAGGCACCAGGAAGAAAUACGACCAACCUCCGUAACAAAUGAGAGAAACUUCACCUGACUGUGUUUUGUGCAUUUGGUUUAUGAGUCGUUUUAAAAACGUGUACUUUUACUGCUGCGUUCAGGUUUUCAGCCAUAGAAUAUUCUAGAAAAAAAUAGUGAUAACAUUUAUUUCACCGCUAUAACCCUGAAUGUGUAGCUGUGUUUUUUAAAAAAACAUUUUUUUACAAUUGUAGAAUAUGUAACAUGCCUCCAGAAACGUGCCCUAAACACAAAUAUAUAAUUUGGCAAAUAAU
Homo sapiens (human) is the source of this 750-nucleotide long non-coding RNA. Ensembl annotates it as PPP5 tetratricopeptide repeat domain containing 1, pseudogene. Its record names the gene PPP5D1P. The record is from Ensembl. NCBI's taxonomy places the organism in Eukaryota, Metazoa, Chordata, Mammalia, Primates, Hominidae.